Molecule: ribosomal RNA, 497 nt
Filed under: uncultured bacterium
Lineage: Bacteria
Description: partial 16S ribosomal RNA
Rfam family: Bacterial small subunit ribosomal RNA
Source: RNAcentral
GAUGAACGCUGGCGGCGUGCCUAAUACAUGCAAGUCGAGCGAACGGACGAUAAGCUUGCGUCUCUGAUGUUAGCGGCGGACGGGUGAGUCACACGUGGAUCCCCCCCCUAUCAGACUGGGAUCAUUUCGGGACUCCGGCUCUAAUCCCGUAUAAUAUUUUGAACCGCAUGGUUCAAUGGUGAAAGACGGUCUUUGUGGCACUUCUCGCUGGAUCCGCGCUGCAUUAGCUAGUUGGUAAGGUAACGGGCUACCAAGGCAACGAUGCAUAGCCGACCUGAGAGACGGGUCGGCCACACUGGAACUGAGACACGGUCCAGACUCCUACGGGAGGCCGCAGUAGGGAAUGGUACGCAGUGGGCGAAAGCCUGACGGAGCAACGCCGCGUGAGUGAUGAAGGCCUUCGGAUCGUAAAACUCUGUUAUUAGGGAAGAACAGAUGUGUACGGAACUGUGCAGAGCGUGACGGUACCGAAUCAGAAAGCCACGGCUAACUACGUG